AGCUUUGCGCAGUGGCAGUAUCGUAGCCAAUGAGGUUUAUCCGAGGCGCGAUUAUUGCUAAUAGAAUAACAAGGAAGGGAUCAUCCUCCUUCAACCCAAAGACAAAGGAAAUGGAACACAGGUUGAUGA
This 129-nucleotide small RNA is filed under the name Marmota monax (woodchuck). The stretch from base 1 to 72 matches the Rfam family "U4 spliceosomal RNA". From Rfam's summary of the family: U4 small nuclear RNA (U4 snRNA) is a component of the major U2-dependent spliceosome. The structure of U4 snRNA from yeast and human has been reported. Lineage: Eukaryota; Metazoa; Chordata; Mammalia; Rodentia; Sciuridae. The record is from RNAcentral.